This is a long non-coding RNA of Arabidopsis lyrata subsp. lyrata, 261 nucleotides long. RefSeq lists it as uncharacterized. The record is from RefSeq and is a predicted model, not a curated record. The transcript is spliced from 2 exons. Lineage: Eukaryota; Viridiplantae; Streptophyta; Magnoliopsida; Brassicales; Brassicaceae.
CUCAACUAUUAUACGAGUCCAGCCUCGUGGUGCCUGAGCAUUAUCUCCAAUGGUGCAUGCCACAUCCACCAGAGCUUCUUGAGGUACUGAGAGAAAGAGGACUACUUCAGGAAAAUGUAAUAAUUGACAGAUCAAAAGAAGUGCUGAGGAACCUCAAUCUGUUUCAUUCUGUCGGCAAGUCGGGACAUCCCAUCUCUGUUAUUGUAACCUCCAUUGAUAUAGUAUGUUCUACUAAAAAAUGCAUCCAUCUUGUCCCCGCAA